This 497-nucleotide ribosomal RNA is filed under the name uncultured bacterium. RNAcentral's name for it is "partial 16S ribosomal RNA". It matches the Rfam family "Bacterial small subunit ribosomal RNA", at positions 28 to 507 of the family's 1533-position model. The record is from RNAcentral.
GAUGAACGCUGGCGGCGUGCCUAAUACAUGCAAGUCGAGCGAACGGACGAGAAGCUUGCUUCUCUGAUGUUAGCGGCGGACGGGUGAGUAACACGUGGAUAACCUACCUAUAAGACUGGGAUAACUUCGGGAAACCGGAGCUAAUACCGGAUGAUAUUUUGAACCGCAUGGUUCAAAAGUGAAAGACGGUCUUGCUGUCACUUAUAGCUGGAUCCGCGCUGCAUUAGCUAGUUGGUAAGGUAACGGCUUACCAAGGCAACGAUGCAUAGCCGACCUGAGAGGGUGAUCGGCCACACUGGAACUGAGACACGGUCAAGAAUCCUACGGGAGGCAGCAGUAGGGAAUCUUCCGCAAUGGGCGAAAGCCUGACGGAGCAACGCCGCGUGAGUGAUGAAGGUCUUCGGAUCGUAAAACUCUGUUAUUAGGGAAGAACAUAUGUGUAAGUAACUGUGCACAUCUUGACGGUACCUAAUCAGAAAGCCACGGCUAACUACGUG